RNAcentral lists this long non-coding RNA (247 nucleotides) under Physcomitrium patens. Its description in RNAcentral is "long non-coding RNA (PPAT_LNC014459)". Lineage: Eukaryota; Viridiplantae; Streptophyta; Bryopsida; Funariales; Funariaceae. The record is from RNAcentral.
UCUAUGCUAAUUGGGUGUUUUUAAACACCAUGGUGGAGUCAAAAAUGCAAAAAUAUUGAUUUUAUUAGUAGAAAAUAGGAGGGCCAGCAGCUAGUAUAGUCCUUGUGAGAAGGGAGGUGCACAAGUUCCAUAUGGAUUGUAGCACCUUGAAGGUAGUUAGGAGGAUAAGACUAUGGCCUUACGGCUUCUCUUAGACACCCAUAUAUACUACUUAUGAGUCUUGGUGAAGUUCAAACUCUUGAUCUCU